GGGAGAGGGAGACAGGUUGGUGGGGGAGAGAAGAGUGGCAGGGAGAGGGAGACAGGUUGGUGGGGGAAGAAGAGUGGCAGGGAGAGGGAGACAGGUUGGUGGGGGAAGAAGAGUGGCAGGGAGAGGGAGACAGGUUGGUGGGGGGGAGAAGAGUGGCAGGGAGAGGGAGACAGGUUGGUGGGGGAGAGAAGAGUGGCAGGGAGACAGGUUGGUGGGGAAAGAAGAGUGGCAGGGAGAGGGAGACAGGUUGGUGGGGGAAGAAGAGAGGCAGGGAGAGGGAGACAGGUUGGUGAGGGAAGGAGAGUGGCAGGGAGAGGGAGACAGGUUGGUGGAGAGAGAAGAGAGGCAGGGAGAGGGAGACAGGUUGGUGGGGAGAGAAGAGAGGCAGGGAGAGGGAGACAGGUUGGUGGGGGAA
Molecule: long non-coding RNA, 415 nt
Organism: Oncorhynchus tshawytscha (Chinook salmon)
Lineage: Eukaryota; Metazoa; Chordata; Actinopteri; Salmoniformes; Salmonidae
Source: Ensembl